Molecule: ribosomal RNA, 443 nt
Filed under: uncultured bacterium
Lineage: Bacteria
Description: partial 16S ribosomal RNA
Rfam family: Bacterial small subunit ribosomal RNA
Source: RNAcentral
CCUACGGGAGGCAGCAGUGGGGAAUAUUGGACAAUGGGGGGAACCCUGAUCCAGCGACGCCGCGUGAGUGAAGAAGUAUUUCGGUAUGUAAAGCUCUAUCAGCAGGGAAGAAAGAAAUGACGGUACCUGACUAAGAAGCCCCGGCUAACUACGUGCCAGCAGCCGCGGUAAUACGUAGGGGGCAAGCGUUAUCCGGAUUUACGGGGUGUAAAGGGGGCGUAGACGGCGAGGCAAGUCUGAAGGGAAAGGCGGGGGCCCAACCCCCGGACUGCUUGGGAAACUGUAUGGCUGGAGUGCAGGAGAGGUAAGUGGAAUUCCUAGUGUAGCGGUGAAAUGCGUAGAUAUUAGGAGGAACACCAGUGGCGAAGGCGGCUUACUGGACUGUAACUGACGUUGAGGCUCGAAAGCGUGGGGAGCAAACAGGAUUAGAUACCCGAGUAGUC